GGCCAGAGAUGACAAACGUACUUUUCUGACACCUCGUAUGAGAGCUUCCAGCUCCUGAUUCUAAAUAUUAUCUGAGGCCU
Small nucleolar RNA from Nematolebias whitei (Rio pearlfish), 80 nucleotides. RefSeq annotates it as small nucleolar RNA SNORD60. The record is from RefSeq and is a predicted model, not a curated record. NCBI's taxonomy places the organism in Eukaryota, Metazoa, Chordata, Actinopteri, Cyprinodontiformes, Rivulidae. The transcript has a single exon.